GCCGGGGUGGUGGAAUAGGUAGACACGCUGUCCUCAGGAGGCAGUGGGCUCCGGCCCGUGCGGGUUCGAGUCCCGCCCCCGGCACCA
This 87-nucleotide transfer RNA is filed under the name Armatimonadota bacterium. Its description in RNAcentral is "Armatimonadetes bacterium (oil production facility metagenome) tRNA-Leu". It matches the Rfam family "tRNA". From Rfam's summary of the family: Transfer RNA (tRNA) molecules are approximately 80 nucleotides in length. Their secondary structure includes four short double-helical elements and three loops (D, anti-codon, and T loops). Lineage: Bacteria; Bacillati; Armatimonadota. The record is from RNAcentral.